CACAAGGAAAGCACCAGAUCCCCAGCUCUUAUACAUCAGCUCCCAUCAGCUGAUGCCUGUGCUGACUAGCAUCAUAAGAAGAAAGAUAAGAGGAGAGAAAGUGCCAUCGACCCACCCAGAGAGAGCAACGGCAAUUGUGCUCUCUCUGACUCCGGCUGCUGAUGGCGAGCAGCAUUAUCUGGAAUUGCUUGGAUCACUCAAAGCCCUAAAACACCUUUUUUGUGUUUCUCCAGAGGAAUUUCACAGAGUUGAAGUGCAAUGUCAAGACAGUCUGCCUGGUGAGGGUGUUUGCUUGGCCAGAAAGCAGAUGGAUCUACAACGCUUAGCCUCCAUAGCAACGUCCAUAGCAACAACAAAUGUGUCAGUCCCCUCAUUACCCUAUCUUCUACUGCUGUGGCUCAUAUGGAGAAGAGGAACCCUGAUGAGUCUCAUCGCCAUAACUGAUGACAUGCUGCUGGUUUUUACAACCAUGAAAACUGAACGAAUACUGGUCCCAAGGGCUCGCACAGUAGCUGAUGCAAGUAAACCUCACGCCUUCUUCAGUUCUUCAGUCAGGCUGAGAAGGAUGGGUGAAGUAUCCAAAUGAUAUGCUGGCUUUUGUGCCUUUUGUGUUUUACAUAAGCAGUAAAUAUGGAGAAAAUGUAAAUGUGAACGCUGA
This 658-nucleotide long non-coding RNA is filed under the name Astyanax mexicanus (Mexican tetra). RNAcentral's name for it is "lncRNA (ENSAMXG00005019523.1)". The record is from RNAcentral. Lineage: Eukaryota; Metazoa; Chordata; Actinopteri; Characiformes; Acestrorhamphidae.